GUCAUAGUGGCAGACCUAUGCAUUAGAUUUAAACCCUAACUACGAAAUAUUUUCCUAUGACA
This 62-nucleotide transfer RNA is filed under the name Paraleonnates uschakovi. RNAcentral's name for it is "tRNA-Leu". Lineage: Eukaryota; Metazoa; Annelida; Polychaeta; Phyllodocida; Nereididae. The record is from RNAcentral.